GCAUAUCAAUAAGCGGAGGAAAAGAAACCAACAGGGAUUGCCCUAGUAACGGCGAGUGAAGCGGCAACAGCUCAAAUUUGAAAUCUGGCGUCUUUGGCGUCCGAGUUGUAAUUUGCAGAGGGCGCUUUGGCAUUGGCAGCGGUCCAAGUUCCUUGGAACAGGACGUCACAGAGGGUGAGAAUCCCGUACGUGGUCGCUAGCCUUUACCGUGUAAAGCCCCUUCGACGAGUCGAGUUGUUUGGGAAUGCAGCUCUAAAUGGGAGGUAAAUUUCUUCUAAAGCUAAAUACUGGCCAGAGACCGAUAGCGCACAAGUAGAGUGAUCGAAAGAUGAAAAGCACUUUGGAAAGAGAGUUAAAAAGCACGUGAAAUUGUUGAAAGGGAAGCGCUUGCAGCCAGACUUGCCUGUAGUUGCUCAUCCGGGUUUUUACCCGGUGCACUCUUCUACGGGCAGGCCAGCAUCAGUUUGGGCGGUUGGAUAAAGGUCUCUGUCAUGUACCUCCUCUCGGGGAGAUCUUAUAGGGGAGACGACAUGCAACCAGCCUGGACUGAGGUCCGCGCAUCUGCUAGGAUGCUGGCGUAAUGGCUGUAAGCGGCCCGUCUUGAAACACGGACCAAGGAGUCUAACAUCUAUGCGAGUGUUUGGGUGUCAAGCCCGAACGCGUAAUGAAAGUGAACGGAGGUGGGAACCUUUCGGGGUGCACCAUCGACCGAUCCUGAUGUCUUCGGAUGGAUUUGAGUAAGAGCAUAGCUGUUGGGACCCGAAAGAUGGUGAACUAUGCUUGAAUAGGGUGAAGCCAGAGGAAACUCUGGUGGAGGCUCGCAGCGGUUCUGACGUGCAAAUCGAUCGUCAAAUUUGGGCAUAGGGGCGAAAGACUAAUCGAACUAUCUAGUAGCUGGUUUCCUGCGAGC
This 910-nucleotide ribosomal RNA is filed under the name Epicoccum nigrum. RNAcentral's name for it is "LSU rRNA". It matches the Rfam family "Eukaryotic large subunit ribosomal RNA", at positions 38 to 966 of the family's 3401-position model. Lineage: Eukaryota; Fungi; Ascomycota; Dothideomycetes; Pleosporales; Didymellaceae. The record is from RNAcentral.